Vicugna pacos (alpaca) is the source of this 72-nucleotide non-coding RNA. The record is from the annotation of a RefSeq genome assembly. Lineage: Eukaryota; Metazoa; Chordata; Mammalia; Artiodactyla; Camelidae.
GAGAGUAUAGCUCAGUGGUAGAGUACGUGCUUCGUAAGUACGAGGUCGUGGGUUCAAUCCCCAGUACUGCCA